This 1472-nucleotide ribosomal RNA is filed under the name uncultured organism. Its description in RNAcentral is "16S ribosomal RNA". It matches the Rfam family "Bacterial small subunit ribosomal RNA". The record is from RNAcentral.
AGUGAACGCUGGCGGCGUGGAUUAUGCAUGCAAGUCGCGCGAUCCUUGUUGGAUUUUUACUGGGAGUGCUUGCACAAAGGUAAAAAACCGACGCGGGAUAGCGGCAAACGGGUGAGUAACGCGUGAGCAACUUUCCCUUAAGACAGACAUAGCUUCGUGAAAACGGAGGUAAUUUCUGAUAGUACCUUAUUAUCGCAUGGUGAUGAGGUUAAAGGUGGGGAUCCUUUUAGGACCUGCCGUUUAAGGAUGGGCUCGCGUCCUAUCAGCUUGUUGGUGAGGUAACGGCUCACCAAGGCAUUUGACGGGUAGCUGGUCUGAGAGGAUGGUCAGCCACACUGGGACUGAGACACUGCCCAGACUCCUACGGGAGGCUGCAGUCGAGAAUCUUUAGCAAUGGACGAAAGUCUGACUAUGCGACGCCGCGUGAGGGAUGAAGGCCUUCGGGUUGUAAACCUCUUUUGACAGGAAAGAAACUCUUAUUGUUAAUAGCAAUAAGACUGACGGUACCUGUUGAAUAAGCCACGGCCAACUCCGUGCCAGCAGCCGCGGUAAUACGGAGGUGGCGAGCGUUACUCGGAAUUAUUGGGUGUAAAGGGCAGGUAGGCGGUCUUUCAAGUGAGAGGUGAAAUUUCCCGUUUCAAGCGGGAAACUGCCUUUCAAACUGUAAGACUUGAGGAUGGAAGAGGGAAAUGGAAUUCCCGGUGUAAGGGUGAAAUCUGUAGAUAUCGGGAAGAACACCAGUGGCGAAGGCGAUUUCCUGGUCCAUCUCUGACGUUGAACUGCGAAAGCUAGGGGAGCGAACAGAAUUAGAUACUCUGGUAGUCCUAGCUGUAAACGAUGAGCACUAGGCGUUGGUCCUUCAUUGGGUCAGUGCCGUAGCUAACGCGUUAAGUGCUCCACCUGGGGACUACGGUCGCAAGGCUAAAACUCAAAGGAAUUGACGGGGACCCGCACAAGCGGUGGAACAUGUGGUUUAAUUCGAUGCUACGCGAAGAACCUCACCAGGGCUUGACAUGUAAGCAGCAGUGAACUGAAAGGGAAUCGACCUGUCAAGUCAGGAACUUACACAGGUGCUGCAUGGCUGUCGUCAGCUCGUGUCGUGAGAUGUUGGGUUAAGUCCCGCAACGAGCGCAACCAUCGCUCUUAGUUGCUAAUUUAUUAUCCUUCGGGAUAAUAAAAGCACUCUAAGAGGACUGCUUGGGAUAACCAGGAGGAAGGUGGAGAUGACGUCAAGUCAGUACGGCCCUUAUGCCCUGGGCCACACACGUGUUACAAUGGUCGAUACAAAGGGUUGCCAACCCGUAGGGGGGAGCUAAUCCCAAAAAAUCGACCUCAGUUCGGAUUGGAGUCUGCAAUUCGACUCCAUGAAGCUGGAAUCGCUAGUAAUGGGAGAUCAGCACGCUCCCGUGAUACGUUCCCGGGUCUUGUACACACCGCCCGUCAAGCGAUGGGAGCCGGGGGUACCCGAAGCC